RNAcentral lists this long non-coding RNA (752 nucleotides) under Rattus norvegicus (Norway rat). Its description in RNAcentral is "long non-coding RNA NONRATT026865". The record is from RNAcentral. Lineage: Eukaryota; Metazoa; Chordata; Mammalia; Rodentia; Muridae.
GCGGGUCGGAGAGAUUCCGAGCGACUUGACCUUCCCUGCACGCCGCCGCUGCCCUUCCAGUAGCAGUCGGGGCGCUGCUGGGGGCUCCGUUCAUUGUUGAGGUUUUUCUCUUAAGUGGUGGUUCCUUGGCAUGAACUUUAAAGGCAAAGAUGACAGAUUUUGUUAUUUGGAAGCCUAUUUACUUUGACAUGUCUUAAGAACUCAAGGUUGACUGGUGCUGCUUGGAUGCACAUCACAAAGGAGGAAUAAACUUGUGUCUACUUUGUAAAAACAGAGAGCUUGAAGAUGCCCCAAAAGCACUCAGCCAGCCACAGAGCAGGAAGCAACAUGGGGUCCUCUGCUGUCACCGUCAGGUGUCCCAGCCUCCCAGACUUCGGCCCCACAUCCUCCUUUAAGCAUAGGGGCCCUCACGAGCUGUCAGAGACUUGCAGCUUUAGUAAGAAAGAAAAAGACCCAAUGCUAACCUGUGAACAUCUGGAAACUCCACGUCUAGGUUUCCCUAAUCCUGCAGUAUCUCCCAGUCCAAGAAAGAAGUCUGUGUCCCUAAGGAAGGAAAAGGAGGAAAGCCCAGAACUUUGCGAGACUCCUAAACUCAGAAGGAAAAAAUGCACACUACGCAGGAGGCUAGACUUGACUUUGACUCUUCUGAAGGGGGAUUCUGAUUCACAAAGCAGUUCUCUGGAAAGUAAUAUAAGCCACAGUCUUAGCCUAGAAAAACGUUUGCGAGACAGCACUUCAGGUUUCCCAAAGGA